GACGAACGCUGGCGGCGUGCUUAACACAUGCAAGUCGAGCGGUAAGGCCCGUUUCGGGGGUACACGAGCGGCGAACGGGUGAGUAACACGUGGGUGACCUGCCCUCAGCUCUGGGAUAAGCCUGGGAAACUGGGUCUAAUACUGGAUAUGACUCCACGGUGCAUGUCGGUGGGGUGGAAAGCCUUGUGCGGCUGAGGAUGGGCCCGCGGCCUAUCAGCUUGUUGGUGGGGNGAUGGCCUACCAAGGCGACGACGGGUAGCCGGCCUGAGAGGGCGACCGGCCACACUGGGACUGAGACACGGCCCAGACUCCUACGGGAGGCAGCAGGUGGGGAAUCUUGCGCAAUGGGCGAAAGCCUGACGCAGCGACGCCGCGUGA
RNAcentral lists this ribosomal RNA (378 nucleotides) under uncultured bacterium. RNAcentral describes it as "bacterial SSU rRNA". It matches the Rfam family "Bacterial small subunit ribosomal RNA", at positions 28 to 404 of the family's 1533-position model. The record is from RNAcentral.